CCCUAUGGGGCGCUGGUGACGGUGCAGGUGCAUCUGAAUGUGCUGGCGGUGUGCGUGCAUGCGAAGCUGGCCGCGGCGAUCUUUACGUUGGGCCGGCGUCCCGAUGAGUUUACGCGUUCGAAGGCCGAAGAGGAGGGGCUGGUCCUGUUCUCGACGGAGGCGACCACGUUCGAUGUGGCCGGGAAGUUGUAUGCGCUCGGCUUGAGAGGCUCGGCGUGAAAACGUAUCACGCCGAUUUGCAUGUCCAUACGGCGUUGUCCCCUUGCGCCGAAGAUUCCAUGACCCCCCCCACUAUUGUGCUGGCCGCGUUGCAAAAGGGACUCGAUAUUAUCGCGGUGUGCGAUCACAACAGCGCGGGGAAUGCGCGCGCGGGGCGGGAGUGCGCCCUCGAUAUGGCGGGGGAGC
RNAcentral lists this ribosomal RNA (405 nucleotides) under uncultured prokaryote. RNAcentral describes it as "partial 16S ribosomal RNA". The record is from RNAcentral.